ACCCCAAAGCGGGAAGGUUAGAGAGGCGAUUAGCGGUCCUGCUCCAACUUUCCGACCGGCGGUGGUCCUCCAGCGGAGAGUGAGGCCGGAACAGAGAAUAACAUUUGGUGGAGAUUUAUGAGAACAUCUUUACCUGACCUUGAACUGACCUGACCUCAAGAACAAAGGAUCUGGGACAUCCCUGGUGGUCCAGUGGGUAAGACUCCCCGCUCCCAAUGCAGGGGGCCGGGGUUCGAUCCCUGGUCGGGGAACUAGAUCCCGCAAGCAUGCCGCAACUAAGACCCGGCGCAGACUAAAUAAAUACAUAAUUUUUUUUUUUAAAAAAAGGAUCUAACAUCAAGAAGUUUGCAACAACCACGCCCCCUCCACCUUUCCUAUAAAAGGCCUUUGCUGAAAACUUUAGGGGAGUUUGAGAUUUUUAAGGCAUGAGCCACCAAUCUCCUUGCAUGGCCCUGCAAUAAUCCUUUCUCUGUUCCAAACUCCAACGUUUUGGUAUUGUUUGGCCUCACUGUGCGUCAGGCACAUGGACUUAUGUUCGAUAACAUUAAUAGCCAGAGGAGUGUACUGGAAUUGAGUUUUGUCACUUUGUUGAGUAAUUCACAUCAGCUAAUAAUCAUAGGUCUUUUCUUUUAAAAUGUGCACCAUUAAAAAAAAAAAAAAAAAAAAAAAAGGACCUCCCUGGCGGUCCAGUGGUUAAGACACUGCCCUUCCAAUGCAGGGGGCAUGAGUUCAAUCCCUGUUAGGGGAAGUUCUCCAUGCUGUGCAGCACAGCCAAAAAGAAAAAGAAAAUGUGCACCAUGGUGUUUUGCUUGUAUGUUAUUUGUCUAUUAUGAUUAUUUUUACACACCAUUCCACAACUAAGGGGCCUGGCAUCUUACUAGCUGUGUGACCUCACUUUCAUUCCUUAUGGGUGUAAAAACAGCCAAAUGAGGUAAUAGUAGUUAUUUUGUUAUCUGGACUCUUAUAUUGCUCCAUUUAGGCAAAAGUUAUCUCCCUCUCGCCCUGGACUGCUCACCUUUUCCCACUAUUUCAUAAGCUAUGGUUUCCAUCCAGUGGUGAAUUUUUCAUCAGACUUAACUGCAGGACCCUUCCAAGGCCUUGUACUUGUUUUACAUUCAUGAAUUCAUAUCCUUUCUAUUAGAGAAACCUGCAAAUUGUAUAACUUCAAGCCCACAAAACCUUUGUUUGCCUCUGCUCCUAAUAAGGCCACCCCCACGAGCUUCCCAGACAAGACUUUUUACCUAGUUUCAAAUAUUCUCCUGUCCUGCUGGUCAUUAAUCACGCAACUCCCUUUAGCUCUAAUUACUUUUGUACUGGUUCUGUGGAAUACUUCACAGUGUAUUUUGUGCACAAGAGACUCAAACUAAAGACGGUAAAUAAUAAUAGCUAACUCUUAAUCCUUACAAGAACCUUAUGAGAAAAUUAAGGCCCAGAGAGGUGAAUUGAUUUGCCAAAGAUCACACAGCUAGAAAGUGGAAAUGCUAGGAUUUAUACCUUUGCAAUCCAAUUCCAGAGCCUGUGCUCUGAACCAUUAUGCUUUGUCUCUCACAUGAUGAUGUCCUAGUUGAGAAGAUUUGGGAAACAGACAUCCAUAUACUGUUGGUGGUGGUUAUAUACACUGGCAUGACCUUUUCAGAGCAACCUGGUUAAAAAUAUUUAAAAGAUGCAUUCUCUUUGACUCACAAUUCCACUACUAGAAACUCUGCCUAAAUAAACAUUCAUAAAUGUGUGUAAAUAUUUGGCUAUAACAAUGUUUACCAUAUCGUUGUUUUAAUAGAGGAAAAAGAAACUAGCAACAUAAAUUUGGUUUAGUCAAUUUAAUUGUGAUGCAGUAAUACAACAGAAGAGAUGUAGCCAUUAAAAAUGAUAUAGCAGAAGAAUAUAAUGAGGAAAUUUUCAUGACAUUGAAAGCAGGUAGAGAACAGUUUGUAGAACUUAAAUAUAUAUAUAUAUAUAUAUAUAU
Non-coding RNA from Kogia breviceps (pygmy sperm whale), 1963 nucleotides. Lineage: Eukaryota; Metazoa; Chordata; Mammalia; Artiodactyla; Physeteridae. The record is from RefSeq and is a predicted model, not a curated record.